UAUGCUACGGGGGGCAGCAGUGGGGAAUAUUGGACAAUGGGCGAAAGCCUGAUCCAGCAAUGCCGCGUGAGUGAUGAAGGCCUUAGGGUUGUAAAGCUCUUUUACCCGGGAUGAUAAUGACAGUACCGGGAGAAUAAGCCCCGGCUAACUCCGUGCCAGCAGCCGCGGUAAUACGGAGGGGGCUAGCGUUGUUCGGAAUUACUGGGCGUAAAGCGCACGUAGGCGGCUUUGUAAGUUAGAGGUGAAAGCCUGGAGCUUAACUCCAGAACUGCCUUUAAGACUGCAUCGCUUGAAUCCAGGAGAGG
RNAcentral lists this ribosomal RNA (305 nucleotides) under uncultured bacterium. RNAcentral's name for it is "bacterial SSU rRNA". It matches the Rfam family "Bacterial small subunit ribosomal RNA", at positions 335 to 657 of the family's 1533-position model. The record is from RNAcentral.